Molecule: ribosomal RNA, 309 nt
Filed under: Triticum aestivum (bread wheat)
Lineage: Eukaryota; Viridiplantae; Streptophyta; Magnoliopsida; Poales; Poaceae
Description: partial small subunit ribosomal RNA
Source: RNAcentral
AUGCGUCUAUUACUAGAUGACAAGAAAGAGCUAAUAAAUGCGCGGAGGCGGGCAUGGUAUCUUAAGAACAAGGAAAGUGCUGACAUUAACAAGGAACAGCUGAAAGCUCCAGGGGUAGAUGGUUAUCGAAAAAAAUAUGAUGAACACGACGGCAAGCAUCUCCAUCAAAAUAUGCCUGCCGUUGACACGUCGGGUAUACAAAAUGUUCGAUGUAGCGCUCUCGGUGAUAUCACUAAUGGGGUGCAAGCUCACUCUAUGCUCCUUCUCCAAAAAAUAGCCAGAAAAAGGCUCAAGGGAGAACUACCGUGA